Molecule: ribosomal RNA, 497 nt
Filed under: uncultured bacterium
Lineage: Bacteria
Description: partial 16S ribosomal RNA
Rfam family: Bacterial small subunit ribosomal RNA
Source: RNAcentral
GAUGAACGCUGGCGGCGUGCCUAAUACAUGCGAGUCGAGCGAACGGACGAGAAGCUUGCUUCUCUGAUGUUAGCGGCGGACGGGUGAGUAACACGUGGAUAACCUACCUAUAAGACUGGGAUAACUUCGGGAAACCGGAGCUAAUACCGGAUAGUAUUUUGAACCGCAUGGUUCAAAAGUGAAAGACGGUCUUGCUGUCACUUAUAGAUGGAUCCGCGCUGCAUUAGCUAGUUGGUAAGGUAACGGCUUACCAAGGCAACGAUGCAUAGCCGACCUGAGAGGGUGAUCGGCCACACUGGAACUGAGACACGGUCCAGACUCCUACGGGAGGCAGCAGUAGGGAAUCUUCCGCAAUGGGCGAAAGCCUGACGGAGCAACGCCGCGUGAGUGAUGAAGGUCCUCGGAUCGUAAAACUCUGUUAUUAGGGAAGAACAUAUGUGUAAGUAACUGUGCACAUCUUGACGGUACCUAAUCAGAAAGCCACGGCUAACUACGUG